RNAcentral lists this ribosomal RNA (496 nucleotides) under uncultured bacterium. Its description in RNAcentral is "partial 16S ribosomal RNA". It matches the Rfam family "Bacterial small subunit ribosomal RNA", at positions 28 to 506 of the family's 1533-position model. The record is from RNAcentral.
GAUGAACGCUGGCGGCGUGCCUAAUACAUGCCAGUCGAGCGAACAGAUGAGGAGCUUGCUCCUCUGACGUUAGCGGCGGACGGGUGAGUAACACGUGGAUAACCUACCUAUAAGACUGGGAUAACUUCGGGAAACCGGAGCUAAUACCGGAUAAUAUAUUGAACCGCAUGGUUCAAUAGUGAAAGACGGUUUUGCUGUCACUUAUAGAUGGAUCCGCGCCGCAUUAGCUAGUUGGUAAGGUAACGGCUUACCAAGGCAACGAUGCGUAGCCGACCUGAGAGGGUGAUCGGCCACACUGGAACUGAGACACGGUCCAGACUCCUACGGGAGGCAGCAGUAGGGAAUCUUCCGCAAUGGGCGAAAGCCUGACGGAGCAACGCCGCGUGAGUGAUGAAGGUCUUCGGAUCGUAAAACUCUGUUAUUAGGGAAGAACAAAUGUGUAAGUAACUAUGCACGUCUGGACGGUACCUAAUCAGAAAGCCACGGCUAACUAAGU